CAGCAGCCGCGGGAAUACGUAGGGCGCAAGCGUUAUCCGGAAUUAUUGGGCGUAAAGAGCUCGUAGGCGGUUUGUCGCGUCUGCCGUGAAAGUCCGGGGCUCAACCCCGGAUCUGCGGUGGGUACGGGCAGACUAGAGUGAUGUAGGGGAGACUGGAAUUCCUGGUGUAGCGGUGAAAUGCGCAGAUAUCAGGAGGAACACCGAUGGCGAAGGCAGGUCUCUGGGCAUUAACUGACGCUGAGGAGCGAAAGCAUGGGGAGCGAACAGGAUUAGAUACCCGAGUAGUCCCUGUCUCUUAUAC
RNAcentral lists this ribosomal RNA (301 nucleotides) under uncultured bacterium. RNAcentral describes it as "partial 16S ribosomal RNA". It matches the Rfam family "Bacterial small subunit ribosomal RNA", at positions 509 to 807 of the family's 1533-position model. The record is from RNAcentral.